This 530-nucleotide ribosomal RNA is filed under the name Dichromacalles algecirasensis. RNAcentral describes it as "partial 16S ribosomal RNA". It matches the Rfam family "Bacterial large subunit ribosomal RNA", at positions 1825 to 2624 of the family's 2925-position model. Lineage: Eukaryota; Metazoa; Arthropoda; Insecta; Coleoptera; Curculionidae. The record is from RNAcentral.
GUCUUUUUGAAAAUAAUUUAAAGUCGGGCCUGCCCAAUGACUAAGUUUAAUGGCCGCGGUAUAUUAACUGUGCAAAGGUAGCAUAAUCAUUAGUUUUUUAAUUGAGAGCUGGAAUGAAGGGUUUAAUGAAAAAAGUUCUGUCUUUAAUUAAAUUUAUUAGAAAUUUAUUUUUAAGUAAAAAAGCUUAAAUUUUUACCAAAGACGAGAAGACCCUAUAGAGUUUUAUAUCUUGAAAGUUUAUUUUAUUUAGUAUUUUUAAAUUAGACUUUAGGGAUAUUUGAUUGGGGUGAUUGAAAAAUUGAAGAAACUUUUUUUAAAAUAAACAUUUAUUUAUGAGUAUAUGAUCCUUUUUUUAGAUUAAAAGACUAAAUUACCUUAGGGAUAACAGCGUGAUUUUUCUUAGAGUUCUUAUCAAAAGAAAAGAUUGCGACCUCGAUGUUGGAUUAAAAUAAAUUAUUGGUGCAGAAGCUAAUAUAAUGGGUCUGUUCGACCCUUAAAUUUUUACAUGAUCUGAGUUUAGACCGGUUUAA